Molecule: ribosomal RNA, 393 nt
Filed under: uncultured Hydrogenoanaerobacterium sp.
Lineage: Bacteria; Bacillati; Bacillota; Clostridia; Eubacteriales; Oscillospiraceae
Description: bacterial SSU rRNA
Rfam family: Bacterial small subunit ribosomal RNA
Source: RNAcentral
UGGGGGAUAUUGCACAAUGGGCGCAAGCCUGAUGCAGCGACGCCGCGUGAGGGAAGACGGUCCUCUGGAUUGUAAACCUCUGUCGGAAGGGACGAAGAACGUGACGGUACCUUCCGAGGAAGCUCCGGCUAACUACGUGCCAGCAGCCGCGGUAAUACGUAGGGAGCAAGCGUUGUCCGGAAUUACUGGGUGUAAAGGGAGCGUAGGCGGGAUUGCAAGUCAAGUGUCAAAUCUAUCGGCUUAACCGAUAGCCGCGCUUGAAACUGCAGUUCUUGAGUGAAGUAGAGGCAGGCGGAAUUCCUAGUGUAGCGGUGAAAUGCGUAGAUAUUAGGAGGAACACCAGUGGCGAAGGCGGCCUGCUGGGCUUUUACUGACGCUGAGGCUCGAAAGCAU